AGAGUUUGAUCAUGGCUCAGGACGAACGCUGGCGGCGUGCUUAACACAUGCAAGUCGAACGGAGCACCCCUGAAGGAGUUUUCGGACAACGGAUGGGAAUGCUUAGUGGCGGACUGGUGAGUAACGCGUGAGGAACCUGCCUUCCAGAGGGGGACAACAGUUGGAAACGACUGCUAAUACCGCAUGAUGCGUUGGAGCCGCAUGACUCCGACGUCAAAGAUUUAUCGCUGGAAGAUGGCCUCGCGUCUGAUUAGCUAGUUGGUGAGGUAACGGCCCACCAAGGCGACGAUCAGUAGCCGGACUGAGAGGUUGGCCGGCCACAUUGGGACUGAGAUACGGCCCAGACUCCUACGGGAGGCAGCAGUGGGGAAUAUUGGGCAAUGGACGCAAGUCUGACCCAGCAACGCCGCGUGAAGGAAGAAGGCUUUCGGGUUGUAAACUUCUUUUAAGGGGGAAGAGCAGAAGACGGUACCCCUUGAAUAAGCCACGGCUAACUACGUGCCAGCAGCCGCGGUAAUACGUAGGUGGCAAGCGUUGUCCGGAUUUACUGGGUGUAAAGGGCGUGCAGCCGGAGAGACAAGUCAGAUGUGAAAUCCACGGGCUCAACCCGUGAACUGCAUUUGAAACUGUUUCCCUUGAGUGUCGG
Molecule: ribosomal RNA, 646 nt
Filed under: uncultured bacterium
Lineage: Bacteria
Description: bacterial SSU rRNA
Rfam family: Bacterial small subunit ribosomal RNA
Source: RNAcentral